RNAcentral lists this ribosomal RNA (616 nucleotides) under Salmonella enterica subsp. enterica serovar Monschaui. RNAcentral's name for it is "partial 23S ribosomal RNA". It matches the Rfam family "Bacterial large subunit ribosomal RNA", at positions 573 to 1190 of the family's 2925-position model. Lineage: Bacteria; Pseudomonadati; Pseudomonadota; Gammaproteobacteria; Enterobacterales; Enterobacteriaceae. The record is from RNAcentral.
GGUGAGUGCUUUGGGGUGGGGUGACUGCGUACCUUUUGUAUAAUGGGUCAGCGACUUAUAUUCUGUAGCAAGGUUAACCGUAUAGGGGAGCCGGAGGGAAACCGAGUCUUAAUUGGGCGUUAAGUUGCAGGGUAUAGACCCGAAACCCGGUGAUCUAGCCAUGGGCAGGUUGAAGGUUGGGUAACACUAACUGGAGGACCGAACCGACUAAUGUUGAAAAAUUAGCGGAUGACCUGUGGCUGGGGGUGAAAGGCCAAUCAAACCGGGAGAUAGCUGGUUCUCCCCGAAAGCUAUUUAGGUAGCGCCUCGUGAAUUCAUCUCCGGGGGUAGAGCACUGUUUCGGCUAGGGGGCCAUCCCGGCUUACCAACCCGAUGCAAACUGCGAAUACCGGAGAAUGUUAUCACGGGAGACACACGGCGGGUGCUAACGUCCGUCGUGAAGAGGGAAACAACCCAGACCGCCAGCUAAGGUCCCAAAGUCAUGGUUAAGUGGGAAACGAUGUGGGAAGGCCCAGACAGCCAGGAUGUUGGCUUAGAAGCAGCCAUCAUUUAAAGAAAGCGUAAUAGCUCACUGGUCGAGUCGGCCUGCGCGGAAGAUGUAACGGGGCUAAACCAU